AAGGGCACCACAAGAACGCGUGGAGCAUGUGGCUUAAUUUGACUCAACGCGGGAAAUCUUACCGGGUCCGGACACACUGAGGAUUGACAGGCAAAAUUAUUUAUAUGCUUUUUUAUUUUUAUAACUAAGCAUUUUAUAUGCAAAUAUGCUAGUCCUUUCAUGAUUAUGUGAUAGGUGGUGCAUGGCCGUUCUUAGUUCGUGGAGUGAUCUGUCUGCUUAAUUGCGUUUCACCAAGGGUUUAUAACAAACGUAUGUUGCGCCGUUUCGAUCCCGCUUUUUACUAAGUGUGUGGUCUUAGCGCGUUGCGCAUACAAAUAGGCCCUGAAAGCAACGAACGUGACCGCAACCUCUUGUUGCCUUUAUUCAAAAUAGCGUUGAUUUGUGAGGGAUUUAUUUUCUUUGCUUUUUUUCGCUAAAAAAGAGGCUUUAAAACUAGAGGGACCGCUGUAUCUUCUUUAAACCAGAGGAAGGUUGCGGCAAUAACAGGUCUGUGAUGCCCUUAGAUGUUCCGGGCUGCACACGUGCUACAAUGAUUAUUGCAGUGAGCAUCUCAUACACACACCGCUUGCGCAGGCAGUUUAUUUGCUUUUUUUUUUAAGAGCAUUUAAUCCUGUUUUUGCGCGCGGUAAAGCCUGCUUCGAAAGUAAGUAGGUAAUCAAUUUGAAGUAAUGAUUUCCCAGCUUUUUAAAGUACAGCACACUUAUAUACGGCGUUGGUACCCAUAGCUUGCCCUUGCGGUUUAGUUAUUGUGUGUUGCCUAACGUUAGCUUUGUCUCAAAGUUAUUCGUAUGUGCUUUUGUCAAUUCAAGGUGGGGACAGACCAUUGUUAAUUGUUGGUCUCGGUUCAACUAGGAAUGCCUUGUACAGGUCUUUGGUUCAACAAACCACCUGGAAUACGUCCCUGCCCUUUGUACACACCGCCCGUCGCUCUUACCGAUGGACUUCUCUGUGAGUUUGAGGGACUGGGUUAAUUCGUUUUUUUUAAAACGAAGACACCUAUGGAAACUUAAACGAACAGUGUGGUCUAAAGGAAAGAGAAGUCGUAACAAGGCAUCGGUAGGUGAACCU
RNAcentral lists this ribosomal RNA (1068 nucleotides) under Psammosphaera sp. 1018. Its description in RNAcentral is "bacterial SSU rRNA". It matches the Rfam family "Eukaryotic small subunit ribosomal RNA", at positions 1160 to 1816 of the family's 1831-position model. The record is from RNAcentral. Lineage: Eukaryota; Foraminifera; Astrorhizida; Psammosphaeridae.